GAACAAGAGACCAAGAUUUUCACUUAAGAAUUCUCCAUUAGAAGUCCAAAUUUAUUUCAACUUAAAUCUUUGGAUUUCAAAUUCCCUAACCAAAUGUCACCUCAUCAGACAUUUUUUAGAAUUUGAUUGUUUAUGUUUUGCUUUCAAUAAAAUUAUUCAAAUGCACUAUUAUUAUGUAAAGAUUUGUGAAAAUGAAAGUUCGUACUGAGAAUGUUAAGGUGGAUGAGU
Molecule: unclassified non-coding RNA, 228 nt
Filed under: Hevea brasiliensis (rubber tree)
Lineage: Eukaryota; Viridiplantae; Streptophyta; Magnoliopsida; Malpighiales; Euphorbiaceae
Source: RNAcentral